Molecule: long non-coding RNA, 269 nt
Filed under: Phoenix dactylifera (date palm)
Lineage: Eukaryota; Viridiplantae; Streptophyta; Magnoliopsida; Arecales; Arecaceae
Description: long non-coding RNA (PDAC_LNC012512)
Source: RNAcentral
AGGCUUAGGUGCCCUCUUCAAACUAGUUAGGAGCUGUUUAGUGAUUUUAGAACAAAUACAAGGAUUGAUGUGUUUAUCUUUUAUUGCAUGCUUGACUGAUCAAGUACUAGUGUAUGCAAGGUAGUCGUUCUAGAGUACGAAACCUAUUACCUUUUGACCUUGAAAUAGAACGAACCCUUAGGAACAUUCGAGCUAAGAUUAAAACAUUAGGAUCAUCCCCACCUCUUAAGAUAGCUGAAGAACAACCCAAACUCCUGAGGGAGUACUUU